RNAcentral lists this long non-coding RNA (36699 nucleotides) under Manihot esculenta (cassava). RNAcentral describes it as "long non-coding RNA (MESC_LNC010028)". The record is from RNAcentral. Lineage: Eukaryota; Viridiplantae; Streptophyta; Magnoliopsida; Malpighiales; Euphorbiaceae.
CUAUCCAGCCUUUCAUUCCUCACAAUUGUAGGCAUGCAUCAACUCAAGUACUCUGGAAGAAUUUUUCUAUUUAUCUGAACUAAUUCAGUUGAAGUGUCUCCUGCAAUAAACCAUUCCUCUUGGGUACUUGCGGGCAUGUACCUUUGCUAUUCCUUCUUCCAUCCCUUAUUUUCUCUUCUGGCACCCUCAAACUCUCAAAAAGGGCCAUUCCAGGCAUUAUAUUUAUGACCAAUUACAAAAGCUUGGGUUCCCUGUCCUUGCUAACCCUAACCUAGUUUUAUGUUCUUCUCAAGUCUCAACCUUACAUCUACAACCUGUACUCAUUGAAAUCUAGUUUCACUGGUGUUAGUUUUUCCCUUAUUGGUCUUAGGAAUUCUGACUGCACUGCAAUUUCUAGGUUUUCAGAUAAUAAUAUAAUUCCACAUGAAUUUUGAUUUUGUCAGCCCACUUGGUUAGUUUCAUAGUUUACCAUUGGUAUGUUAAGUUUAGCUUGUGAUCUAUGCUUUGUCAAAUGAAACUCUCCUAUGCGAUUAUUACUUUUUCUUUACAGUUCAUUGAAGGUGGGAUUGAGAAGGAUAGAAACUCUGAUUCUGAAGGAACUGAAGAUGAGGAAAAUGAAUCCGAGUCAAAUGAAACAAUCAACAGGACUUUAGAUACUUUGCACUUGCUAGAGAAGGUACAUACUUUGUAAGCUUUUACCAUCAUUAGGUUGUGCAAUUUACAGAUUUGCUAAUAACAAGAUAAUUCUGCUCUUUGGGUUUCUACUCUCCACUGAGUGGAAACCCUUGUUCAAGUAACUUUUCUUUUGCUUCUUAAAUUAAAAUACAUGGUUUUUUACACCGUUUACAACCUUAUAUUUAAUUUUACUACUGAUGAGUUACCUUUUUUCCUAAAGUUAAAGAAUUGGAACAAUAUUUAAUUUUACUACUGAUGAAUUACCCCUUUUUUUUUUAAGUUAAAGAAUAUGGAACAUGUUACAAUCUAAUUGAGUCAACGGUUAAGAUAGAUUUUCAUAAUGAAAACAGUGGCCUUCUUCUUGAUGUGAAGAUAUUUAAAUGCCGUAUAUAAAUACAUGAAAUGACCAAUGUGGAGGAGUUUAAAAUCAUUUCUGUGUGAAAGGGUGGUCCAGUUCAUAUUGCAGGCUCUUAUUCUCUGGUGAGAACCAACUGAUACAACUUUUGACUGUGCUACAUCCCGUACAUGUCUGGUUUACUUCGUUUUAUGUGCUGAAUGUUCAUUUUCUGGGUUCUUGCUUGAGAAUGUAAGUUUAUAAUAAGAAACGUAAUACAGGAGGAACACUCUUCAAACUCUGUUGAAGAUGGAAAAGUAGAUGAGAAUCAACAGAGCUGUGAAACAAGUCAAAACAUUGGGUCUGAAUCAGAAGAAGCGAGCGACAAGGUGCAAGUUGUUUAUCAUUUGUUUUGCCUAUUGAAUGCCUCUAAUUGAUUUAAAGGAUGAACUGUUUGCAGCAUUCAUUGGUUGCGGAUGAACUGUAAUGGGUCCAAUGAUGUUUAAAUAGCUUUCACUGGAGAGACUUCGAGUAAUAUGCAUAGCUCUCAUAAUACUGGUGGUGUUUUUUUUUCGCUUCCCAGGAAGAAGAAAGUCGGACUCUAGAUACAGGUGACGACGCAGAAUUGGUCAAGCGUCUUAACAAGCAGAGAAGACGUGCCAUAGCAUCAGCUCGAGGGGGUCGAAGGAGUCUUGCCUCCAGAAAUUCUUACAAGGACAAGGGUGGUAAAUCCUCUCAUAAUUCAAAACUUAAGAAACAGUUGAGCAACUGGUAAAUCGUAAAAAAGUUGUACGAUGAAUUCUCAGAUGGAGCUUCUAUUCUAGUCGUUUGUGGUAAUGUUCUACUCUAGGAUGAGGUAUUCUAACUUCAAUGAAAUGGGCAUCAAGGAAAGCUGACAGCACGAUUAGGAUUUUCAGUCCAGUUUUUGUCCCUAGAUGAUGAAAGAGUUGUAUGCUUGUUUUGUUCAUAGCAAUAGAUAGAUUUUGUCCCUAUAAGAUAAAUGAGUUAUAUGCAUGUUUUGUUUGUGGCAAUAGAUUAUGAGAAGUUUGUGAUACAAAAAUAGAAAAUUUCAGAUCAUUCAUUUCAUUUAAUUGCAAGAUCUUUUGCUUUUUGUUCUUGAAGGAGAAAUGCAAGUGAAACCAUCUUUAGUGGUGUAACGGAUUAAUUUCUAAAUUUAUUCUUCUUAUUUAGCUUAGCACAACAAGCUUGAGUUAUCUUGUCAAUGUCAUGACUUCUUUUACCCUUCAUUUUCUUAUAAAGUUGGUGAAUUUUUAUAUUUAAAGUGGUAAUUUUUAUUAGUCAUCCCUUAAUUUUAGUAAUGUUUUCACUUUUGUCUCUUUUCUUCAUUGUGUUGUCAAAAAAUCCCUAGACUUAAAGACACUACAACGAAAUGCUUUGGUCUUUGGCCGAAAAAAAAAAAAAAACGAAAUGCUUUGGUGCCAAAAUUCAAUUAGAUCUUCGAUUAUAUUCAUACGACGCAGUUCUAUCAUGUUAAAAAAAACUUUUUUUUUAAAAAAAAAGUCAUGUGAUGUAAUAUUUGUGUUUGAGAAAAUGUGAUGAGAAAGUGAAUGUUUUAGAUUAUAUAUAUAUUAAUGUCAGGUAAAAAAAAUAUUGCCAUGGAGCUAUUGAAUUUUAGCUUGAAAAUUUUCGUUUAGAAAUUUAUAAAUUUUAUAAUAAAAAAAAAUAAAGAUCAGAAAGAAAAGUGGAAUAAUUUUUUGGAUAUAUGUAUAUAGUACUGGAUUCUUGCUUUCCCUAAAUUCCACUCACUAUUUUCCGAUGUGGGAUGGAAAACGCGAGUCGUUGCAGAAUUCUGUGGUUCAAUAUGAUUUUAUAAACUAAGACAUAAUAUGAUUUAUAAGCUAUAAUAUAAAUUAUCUUUUAGUAUUUCAACUUUAACAUAAUUAAUGAGAUGAUUUUGUAUUUUAAAAAUCUUUUAAAAAUCUCUCAAUAAUCAAUCUAUUUAAAUAAAAGUUUAUUUUAUUUAUAAUUUUGUUAAUGAACUGAUUAAAAAAUAUUCUAAUAAAUACUUACUCGUGAGUGAAAUAUUUUAUAUUGCGUAAAAUAAAAUUUUUAGCAUAAUUAAUAUAUUGAAUAUUGUAUUUUUAAAAUUGAAUUUUGAAAUUUUUUCAUAUUCAGUCUAAUUAAAAUUACAAUAAUUUUAUUGAUUAUAGAUAUUAAUUUAGAAUUAGUUGGGUAGUUAAAUUUUUUGAAGUUUAAUUUUUUUCUUGAAAUAUAUUUUAAAAAAUUUAUAAUUUAUUUAAAAGUUAUUUGGUAUACUUAAAAAUAAUUAAAAUUAUAAAUAUUUUUUGAAAAUUUAAAACUAUAAGUAUUAAAAUAUUUUAACAAAUAAAAAUUAAAAAAUAAAGAGUGUUAAAAUUUAAUUAAAUAUGAUAAUCUAAAUAAAAGUUGUGGUGGGUUAAAACUAAACAGAAAUCAAAAGUCCAAAAACCUUUAAAUAGAAACCCGAAGCCCGCAGACUAAAUCUACGGCUCAAUUUAAAAAGAAACAAUCGAACCGACUCUCUGCACUGCGACUGCCGACUCGCUGGCCUGCCACCGCCUGUAGUUAAAGACAGCAACCCAUCUGGGCCAUCUCCACCCCAAUCCACACCCCUAAAGUCUCACUCCCAUCCAUUUGUCCAUCCAACUUCUUUUCCUUGCAUCUCAAUUCGACUACUCAAAUUUCAAAUUUUCCUGUUUUUCCAUUUCAAAUUUGGUUUUUCUUUUAAAUUCUUUUGUAGUUUAAUUUUAUUAAUUAAAACUAGCAUGAUAAAAUGACUUAUUAGAUUUAAGUUCUCAUACUUUCAAUUCAAUUUAUUUCUAUUUAAUUUGGUUCGGUUAGUUUUAUAAUUUGAUUCAAUUCGAUUUUAAUUUUCUAAAUAAUUUUUAAUUUUCAAUUUUUUUUUUGUUCGAUUUCAUUUUGAAUCCAAUUGAUAGGUACCAGUUGAGAUGUUAUAGGAACCCAAACUAGAUUGCGAACAACCACGUAGCACAUCUUCAAAUUCAUGACAUUGAGUCCACAUUUGUUCAAAUAUGAAUAAUUUAUUACUUGGUGGAGAGGGUCGAAAUGCUGGAGCAAUAAGCAAAGGAUAAUGAUAUGAUAAAAAUCGAUCUAGAGUACAAAUUUGCAUUGUUGGAAAGAAAGAAAAACAAGCAGCAUUAGCCACCCCUCUAUCAAGCCUUUCCUGAAUGUGUGGAGAACCAGAUUGGCAAUUUGACCAAGUAAAAGGAAAUCCAAUCAUAGAAAUAUUAGUCAAACCACAAGCAUCAAGUGUAUCGUGAAGGAGCUGUAUGAAAAAUGAAGGUCGAUGUUACCCCUUGUUUUUAUGUGCAAAUAUAAUCUCAUUAAAUUCACCAAUACAAAGCCAAUGAAUACCCACAAUAGAUUGCAAGGAACAUAAUAAUUCAAAAGUGCAGCAUUUAUCUUCUUCGCGUGAUCACACAUAUAACCCAGUGAAAAUCCAGGGAGUGUUAACAUAUGAUUUAAUAGAUAAUUGAAUAUGAUGUAGAGAAUAGUAUUGUAAACAAAUAUCAAAAUUAGAUAGUCAUAUAAUGUCAAACCACUACUACGGUGAUGUCCUUCCCCUGCGCAAUCAACAUAUAUUCCAGAAUCAAAACCCAGAAGGUGGCAGAGAGGAGCCAUCUCGAAUUGUUUUAAUCGAGUUUCCAUUAGUAAUAAAAAAUCUGAUCGGUGGAAACUCAAGAUCUUUUUUAAGAACCAAAUGUUUCAGGGUUCCCAAGCCCCUGUCAAAUCCAACUAAUAAUUUUUCAUCUCCAUCGGUGGGAUUGGUAGCCAGCCUCCACCGAUAUAGAGUCAUUAGCAACUGGGAAUAUAUGAACAAACUUUAUUUUUUUAAGUUGUGGUAGAUUGUAGAAGAAUACAUAUUAACUCAUAUUUGUUCUGUUGUGCAUUGCUCUGUAAUUAUGCAAUUGUCAUUAGUAGCCUCUAAUUGCUUCUCUUUUUUGUACUGCGCACAUGAGACUUUCUAGUAUAAAUAGCUUAGCUUUUGUACAGAGAUUGUAUUUCUUCAAUAAAUCUCUUUUCUCUCUUUACAUGGUCAGGGUGUGUGUGAAUGAUGUCUCCCUUAAUAUGUUCUGUUGGAUCUUAAAGAUAACAAAGAAAUGGCAGAUCCAAUACCUAUGGUGGAGAAUAAGGCGACCUAUUAGGAAAAGACAAUAAGCAUGCAAGAAUUCGAUGAAUGGCAAUCCACUAUGCUUGCAGUCGUUUGACCAUCCAGGUAUGAUUCUGGUCUCUGUAUCUCUGGUUAGGAGUAGAAACUUCAGAUCUUUGAAUAGAGUUAUGCAAAUAGUUCUAGGAGCCAAGUAGAAGUUAGGUUUAAAUGAAGGCGCUAUUCCAAUGCCAGAUAAAGAUACCGAGUUCCAUGAGCAAUAGAAGAGAUGUGACUAUAUGGUCACAUCUUAGAUCUUGAACUCAAUAUUGAAGAAUCUUGUAGAUGGCUUCAUUUACAUUGCUUCUUCGAGAGAUCUGUGGUGUGAAAUUUCAGAGAGGUUUGGGGAAAGUAAUGGAUCACAAAUCUAUGAGUUACAUAGACAAAUCUCCUUUAUUUCUCAAAAGAAUGCUCCUAUCUCAAUCUAUUUCACUUGUCUAGAAAGAUUGUGGGAUGAGUUAGAGUCAAUAGAAGUGUUACCUCCAUACUUCUGUGGAGCAUCCAAGACCAUUGAUGAUAUGAACAAUAGGAAUAACCUUAUGCAGUUCUUGAUGGGACUGAAUGAGAAUUUUGAUUCUAUGAGAGAUUAAGUUUUAGUUCUUGAUCCUUUGUCUUCAAUAAACAAGGCAUAAUCUAUGGCCUUUAAACAUGAAUCUCAGAAGGAGAUUCUGAGUAAAAGAAAUUCCGAGUCUAUUGAAACCUUGGUACUGUUUAAUUAGAUAUAAGGACAGUCUUUGAAAGGAAAACAAAAGAAGUAUGAUCCAAGAAAGGGACACUGCAAUUACUGUAACAUGGAUGGUCAUAUUAGGGAUAUCUGCUUCAAAUUGAUAGGAUAUCCUGAUUGGUUUAAAAACAAAACCAAGAAUGGAGGACAACCUGCAAGGCAAGACAAAGGUAGGAACAAUAGCCCAAAGGCUUGUGGCUAUUACUGAGGGUCUUGAGUAUGAGGAGGACAAUCCUCUUGAUAUGAUUCAUGGUACUAUUAAAAUUGAUGAAUUUAGUGCAGCUUUGAGUACUCUGCAAUAGAAGUUCUCAAGGCUAGUGAAAGGAAAAGCAGCCCUAACAGCCACUAUUGUGGAUUUGAAUUCAAGUCCAGAUAGAAAUCUUGACUCAGGCUCACACACCUUUGCUGGUAAUUAUAAUUCUGCUAAUCCUUGGUACACUAGAAUGCAUACUAAAAUUACUUGGAUACUGGAUACUGGUGCAACUAAUCAUAUUUCACCAAAUAAAUCUAUGUUUAGUUGUUUAUAUAAAUUUCAAAGGUUUUUCUCUGUUUACCUGCCAAAUGGAAACAAAGCUGGAGUUACACACUCUAGUUCUAUUUCUUUAUUUGAUUCCAUUAUUUUAAGAGAUGUGCUCUAUAUUUCAAGUUUUAAUUACAACUUUUAUCUGUUAGUAAACUCAUUCAGCACAAUAAAGUCAUAUUGCUUUUUCACACUCAUCAUUGCAUUUUACAGGAUUCUCUAACUGAGAGAGUAGUUGCUGUAAAGAAGAUGGUGGUUUAUACAAGAUAAACCAAAAGAGCUUUGUUGUUUCUAAGGUUCAUAAUACUUUGUCUACAAUGUUGCAUAUUGCUCCUUCUUUAUAAUCUUUUGUAAAUAUCAUGGUUUCUGUUUGCCAUAUUAAUAAAGAAAGCUUUAACAGUAUGUUUCAUAAAUUUGCUCGCAUGCCUAGUCUUAUGUAUGUUCAUGAAAGACUUAGACACAUUUCUAUUAAUAAAUUGAAACACAUAAAUGGGGUUGGCUGUGAUGGGAAUAGAAGUAUACAAUGUGAGCUUUUUCAUUUGACUAAGCAGCCUAGGCUCCCUUUUCAUGUGAGUCAUAGUCUAAGUCUAAGACCAUUUGAUUUAAUUCAUGUGAAUAUCUAGGGGCCCUAUAGAGAGAAAUCCUUGACUGAGGCAAGAUACUUUCUCACUAUUAUAGAUGACCAUACUAGGGCAAUUUGGACCUUUAUGAUGUAAUUCAAAAGGCAAAGUACACAUUUUCUGUCCAAGUUCCUAAAAUUAAUAAAGACUCAGUUUAAUGCCUCACAGAUAUGGGCAUGAAUUCUUGAGCAAAGAGUGCCAUAAACUCUUUGAGAGUAAGGGUAUAAUUCACCAAAGGUCUUGUCCUUACAUUUCCCAAUAGAAUGGGGUAGUGGAAAAAAAGCAUAGACAUCUCCUUGAUACUACUAGGGCUUUAAGUCUUUAGGGUAGUAUACCAAAGAAAUUUUAGUCUGAGUGUGUUUUAACUGCCACCUAUCUCAUACAUAGAAUGCCAAUAGCUAGUUGGCAAAGUCCUUAUGAGAGCUUGUUUAAAAGAAUUCCUUAUUAUACUUACCUCAGAAAGUUUAGUUGUUUAUUGUAACGACCCGAAAAUCGGACCGCUACCGGCGCUAGGAUCCGGGUCGACUUAAGGCCGCCGGGACCCGUAGCAAGCCUGACAUGUAACCUGNNNNNNNNNNNNNNNNNNNNNNNNNNNNNNNNNNNNNNNNNNNNNNNNNNNNNNNNNNNNNNNNNNNNNNNNNNNNNNNNNNNNNNNNNNNNNNNNNNNNNNNNNNNNNNNNNNNNNNNNNNNNNNNNNNNNNNNNNNNNNNNNNNNNNNNNNNNNNNNNNNNNNNNNNNNNNNNNNNNNNNNNNNNNNNNNNNNNNNNNNNNNNNNNNNNNNNNNNNNNNNNNNNNNNNNNNNNNNNNNNNNNNNNNNNNNNNNNNNNNNNNNNNNNNNNNNNNNNNNNNNNNNNNNNNNNNNNNNNNNNNNNNNNNNNNNNNNNNNNNNNNNNNNNNNNNNNNNNNNNNNNNNNNNNNNNNNNNNNNNNNNNNNNNNNNNNNNNNNNNNNNNNNNNNNNNNNNNNNNNNNNNNNNNNNNNNNNNNNNNNNNNNNNNNNNNNNNNNNNNNNNNNNNNNNNNNNNNNNNNNNNNNNNNNNNNNNNNNNNNNNNNNNNNNNNNNNNNNNNNNNNNNNNNNNNNNNNNNNNNNNNNNNNNNNNNNNNNNNNNNNNNNNNNNNNNNNNNNNNNNNNNNNNNNNNNNNNNNNNNNNNNNNNNNNNNNNNNNNNNNNNNNNNNNNNNNNNNNNNNNNNNNNNNNNNNNNNNNNNNNNNNNNNNNNNNNNNNNNNNNNNNNNNNNNNNNNNNNNNNNNNNNNNNNNNNNNNNNNNNNNNNNNNNNNNNNNNNNNNNNNNNNNNNNNNNNNNNNNNNNNNNNNNNNNNNNNNNNNNNNNNGAUUUCCAUACUGGUACCAUCCUGGCUAGCAGGGAUGUACUUUUCUGUGAAGAUAUCUUUUCUUAUGCUCAAACUAAAGUUCUAGAUUCCUCUCUUAUCCUUCCUAUUUCUGUUACUGAAUUUGAUACUACUAAUGAGUUCACUAAACUUUCUAUUCCUAUCACAGAACACAACCAAAGCUCCCUAUCCACAUCUCCUUCUCUCUCAACACAAUGUUCUUCUCCUAUAAAGAUUAGAAGAUCCACUAGGAUUGGUCACAAAUUUGCCUGGCUACAGGACUUUGUUAGUUUUGCUUCCACUUCAUCACAACCCCUUUCUAAUAUGUGCUUUGCCCCCCAUCAUCAAUCUUUUGUUCAUAAUGUGGCUAUUGUCCUUGAACCAUCGACCUAUGCAUAGGCAUCUCUUGAUGCUCAGCAGGUUGCAGCUAUGCAACAGGAGUUGCUAGCCCUGGAAAAAAAAUAGUACCUAGGUGCUUAUUGAUUUACCUAAGGGAAAGAGAGCCACUGGGAGUAAAUGGAUUUAUAAAGUGAAAUACAAACCUAUUAGUGAGGUUGAAAGACUUAAGACUCGUUUAGUAGCCUAAGGCUAUAAUCAUAUUGAAGGCCUAGACUACAAAGACAGGUUUUCACAUGUUGCAAAACUUACCACUGUUAGGAUUUUAAUUGUAGCUACUGUCAGACAGUGGCCAAUUUUUCAACUAGACAUCAACAAUGUUUUCCUCUAUGGUUCUUUGAAUGAGGAAGUAUACAUGCUACUACUUCAAGGCUAUCUUAAGGACCUUCCUGGCCAAGUUUGCAUGUUCCAAAAAUCCCUUUAUGGCUUAAAGCAAGCCUCCAGACAGUGGAAUAUUGAAUUCACUAUUUUUUUUAAAUCUUUGGGGUUCUCACAGUCCUCUCAUGAUCACUGUCUGUUUGUUAAGACUUUUGCAGAGUCUUUCAUGGCUCUCUUGAUAUAUUUAGAUGAUAUUAUUAUUACAUGCACUUCUAUUGAUGAUACUAUUGAUGUUAAAACUGCUUUGUAUGAUAAGUUCAUAAUCAAGGACUUAGGGCAUCUUAAAUACUUUCUUGGGCUUGAGGUGGCUAGAUCUGACUAAGCCACUGUUCUUAGUCAAUUAGAAUUUAUAACUAAUUUAUUAAGUGAGCCUGCCCCUUUUCGUCUCCCUAGGUGAUCCACUUCCUGAACCUGAUGCUUAGCGGAGGUUAAUUGGAAGACUCUUAUAUGUUAAUCUUACUAGGUUUGACAUAAGCUAUGCUAUUCAGUACCUUAGUAAGUUUAUAUCUCCUCCUAAAAGACCUCAUUGGGAGGCAGCUAUGCAUGUUUUAAGGUAUUUGAAGGUCACUGUUACUACUUGUCUAUGUUUUUCUGUUCAAUGCAAUUUUCAAGUCACUGCAUAUUGUGAUUCAGAUUGGGCUUCAUGUUGCUUCUCCAGAAAGUCCCUUACAAGAUUUGGGAAAUGUUUUAAGGUAUUUGAAGGCCACUGUUACUACUUGCCUAUGUUUUUCUGUUCAAUGCAAUUUUCAAGUCACUGCCUAUUGUGAUUCAGACUGGGCUUCAUGUUGCUUCUCCAGAAAGUCCCUUACAAGAUUUGGGAUCUUUUUAGGUUUCUCAAUGGUUUUUUAGAAAACCAAAAAGCAAUCUACAGUAUAUAAGUCCUCUACUGAGGCAGAAUAUAGCUAGAGCCAUGGUUGUUGUAGAUCAUGAAUUACUUUGGAUCACCUAUAUUCUACAAGAUUUGCAGAUUCUAAUUGUUUUUCCAAUACAGCUCUACUGUGACAAUAAGACAGCUCUUCAAAUUGCAGCCAAUCUUGUUUUUCAUGAAAGGACUAAGCAUAUAGACAUUGACUGCCACAUUGUUCGAGAGUACCUUCAGAAAGACUUUCUAUCUACCUCUCAUGUCUCUAGUCAAGACCAUGUGGGACCUUUCACUAAACCUUUAUCAGCUAAACAAUACCAGCGUUUCUGUUUCAAGUUGUCUCUGGUCUCCUUCCCAACUCCAACUUGAAGGGGGGUGUAGAAGAAUACUUAUUAAUUCAUAUUUGUUCCUUUGUGUAUUGCUCUGUAAUUAUGCAAUUGUCAUUAAUAGUUUUUAACUGCUUCUGAGCCUAUUGGCUUAGACUUUUAGCUUUUAGGGAUCUUCUUGUAAUAUUUCUUUCCUUCUAUUUGUAGGUGAGACUUGCUGAGUAUAAAUAGCUUGGUUUUUGUACGGAGACUAAUUAUGUAUUUCUUCGAUAGCUUGUCUCUUCCAAGAUUUAGUGCUUCUUUGUACACGGUGACUAAUUUUAGAGGAGCCCAAAGAACAUGGUGUUAGUGCAGAAGGCAAAGAUGGAUCAUCAGAACACUUAGAUGUAUCAGUUUCUAUACUUACUGUCCUGAAAGCAACACAAGUGGAAGACAGAUUAUGCUUAGAAAUAACACCAGCAGAAACAGGCCGGAUGGUAGAAGAGCAUUCCAGUACAGUUGGAUUAUAAUUAUUAGGAGUGAUCACAACAACUGAUUCAGGAGAUACCGGAGAUGCAGUCCGUUUAGUUACUGCGCAUUUGCUUCUCAAAUUAAUAUAUGUACCAGUCUUCAUGAUUGUUGUUGAAUUAGCCAUAGUUGGUUGUGAAGUUAACUGCACAAUGGUAGAAUCUUUGGGUACAGAAUAUAAAGGUCUGACCACAAAGAGGAAGCCCGAAAUCAUUCACCAUAGGGAAGAGUCUCAGAUGUAGUUGUGUCGGACUGGUCCGCAAACUCAUCACACUCCUGAAAAUUAUGAUCAAUACGACCACAAAGAGAGCGCAGAGUUUAAUGCAUAGUAAAGUGAAAAAAAAAAAUUUCUAUUUUGGAACACCAGAAAAAGAAGAUAAGAAUAUUAUUUUAACUAUAUUAACUAUAUUUUCACAUAUUUGGUUUAUUUUUAUAUGAUUGAGUGGAUAACUCAUUAAGUUAGUUGCAUUUUUGUAAUUUGUUAAAGUCCAAAGGUGGUGAGGUUAUGGAGAAAAUUUUGUGUAUCCUGUUGGAGCAUUUGGAAUAGAACAAAUAAUUUGAUUUAGAAUGGUAAGUCUUCUUCUGCCCAAGAUACUGUUGCUUUUGGUAUUAAGCUUUUGAAGAAUUGGCAAUAUUGCUCAACUUUGGGUUGGUUCAGCUGAAGGUAGAUUUAAAUGCUCAACUUUGGGUUGGUUCAGCUGUGGGUAGAUUUAAAUGUAAUAUUGAUGGUGUGAUUCAUGGUCAAGAGAGAUGUUUAUAUGCAACCAUAAUCAGAGAUGAUUUUGAAAGACAUAUAAUGGUAUAAAUUUCCCUAACUCUGUUUGUUCUGUUCUUUAUUCUGAUGUUAACAUUUAAGGUGGCUACAUGUUAUGCUAGUAUCAAAUGGUUUUGAUAUUGGAUCACAUUUAUCCAAUCUAUAACUAAAAGGUAAAAAUUCUUGCAAUGAUUAAUGUUUUCUUUAAGCAAUAAACAAAUUUUAUGCUACAAAUGUAUCAUUUCAUGGCAAGUAUGUCAAAUUUAUUAUUCUAGAUGAACAGUAACAAUCUUAUGAAAAGAUUAUGAUGUGAAAAAAAUAAAAAUAAAAAUUAUGCCUAAUCAAAUAUCCUUUCUCCAGUUGAGAAUAACAAAAACAUGAAAGAACUAAAAAUGCAUAGCAACCCUGGUAUGACAAACACAGCUCUCCAACUUUCUGGACCUGAAAGAUCUGAAUAAGCAGUUUUAGAAGCUUCUAGAAGUCUGCCAGUAAGAUCAACACCAAUAAUGCCAGCCAAAGUACCAGCAGUAUUAGAAACUCCCAUGACUAUUCCUGCAUAUCUUGGAGCAAUAUCCAUGUGAUUCACAGCAAACCCAGCUCUCCCAAGUGCCAAAAACCCAAGAGCCACAGAAGAACAGAUAACUGCCCCAAUAGAAGUUCUGAAAAUAGGAAGUGCCAUUAGUGCAAGAGAAGCAACAAAAAAUCCUAUGGUGUUUAACAACUUUCGGGUUCUGGUCACAGACAGGAUUCGCUUUGUGAUCAAGUGAUCAGCAACUACCCCACCAAUAUUUGAGAAUACAAACAUGUUCAGAUAUGGCAUCAUCUUAGAAGAACCCAUUUCUUGAAGACUGAGCUUGAGACCCUGCUCAAAAUAAGUUGGCAGCCAGUUCAUCAGCACAUACAAUGCAUAAUGGAAUGUGAAAUUAUUUGCUACAAUUGCCCAAAUUGGAAAACUAACUAAAAUUCUCCUCCAUGGAAUUUUUGCCGUUUUAAUAAUACUACCUCCAUUUUCCAUUUUUAUCUUUUGACUGCCUUUGAUUGGCAGCAGAGAAUCUCCAAACCCUGCAGCAGCUGCUUUUGGAUGCUCGGAUCGAGGAGGAUCACUUGCAUAUUUGAACCAUAGCAAAGACCAUAAACCACCUAAGGCUGCUUCGGUAAGAAACACAGAUUCGGGCCCUUUGUAUUUCACUAAACUUGGCAGGAGAAGCAUUCCCAUAGCUGCUCCUAGGUACAUCCCAGAAGUUGUAAGUGAUACAGAUCUGGACCUUUCAUGAGGCGGAACCCAUUGUGCCAAAACAGUAUGAAUCGAAGGGAAGAUGAACCCUUGUGCAACACCAACAAGCAAGCGGGCAACUACCAAGAUUACAACUCGAUUAGGAUCAAGUGGGACCAAAAAGCAAGUUGAUGACCACAAAACAAAUGAGAGGAGGAGAACCUUCCUUCCCCCUAUUCUCUGAGCUGCCCAUCCUCCAGGCACCUGGGAAAAGGCAUAACCAUAAUAGAAUGUUGAAAGUAUAGUGCCUUUACUUGAUUGGUUUACACCAGCAGCAUCAGCUGCAACAGUAUAUGCAAUAGAGAAACCCACUCGUUCAAUGUAGCAAACACAAGUGCUGAUGAAGGUCAAAAUAACAAUCAAGUAACGUUUUGGGAACUUCAGAUUUCUCAUACUUCGCCUUCACUUUUAUAUAGCAGUCUCAUUAACAGUCUUGGAAUGAGCCCACUUUCCUAUAACUCACCUUCUCUCAAUCCUAGUAGUCCAAAAUGUUUAAGAACGUCAGCAGAAAUUUCAAAACUCUCACUAACCUUCAAGAUGGUAUUGAACCUGAAAAGCAAAAUUAAAAAAAGAAAAACAAAAGAAAGAAACUCAUAUACAGCAUAAAAUUGCUAUACCUGAUUGAUUUGCACAUCAUGUUUUUAUCAUUGAAACAAGAAAAUCAUUUAAUUGCACAGCAGAAAAUCGACAUUGCUGUUGAAUUUUAAAUGAGCUAUUAUGAAUCAAUAGAUAAGAGAAAAACUGAAACAUGAAGUAGGUAAAGCUUCAAAUUUAGCUCCAAUUCCAUAAGGGAGAAAAAACUGCACCUGCGAUUAAAAAUAAUUCGAGUUGUUGAAAGGUUCAAUCUAAUCUCUAUCUUAGAGAGGCCGUACUAAAGUGGGUAAAGUCUAAAAAAUCAAAAGCAGAAGCAAAAACCAAAGAAAGCAAUCAAGGGAAAGAGUUGUAAGGAGUUUUUUCAAAAUGAAAAGAUCUGCAUUCUAUUAGAAAUUCAAUUGUAGCUCCCCCUUAGUAUUGAACCAAACAAUCUCAAAAGAGUUGAAGAAGCAGAUAUCAUCACACCAAGAAAACUAGCAGAUCGGACACCAACCACAAUACACAUAUAUAAAGUGCAAUGGGGAUGGAUUAAUUGCUCUUUCUGUGCGUAAAUUUGAAAAGAAACUGAUUCGGAUUGCUAAAUUGGCAUAAACAGAUUCAGUUUUUCACAACAAUAAGAUAACAGAUGAACAGAAAAUUUUACUUUAUUUUACUUUUUAGCAAACAAGAAGAAAGAAAAAUCAGUAGCAGAGGAAGCUCAUAAAUUGAAAGAGGAAAUUAUCAUGCCUUUGAAAGGGGAGACGGAACAAGUCACAAUGGCAGUCUGGUAGAGAAGAGAUUCACCUUCGAUUGAAGUCACUCAACUCCAUUACAGGGAGGAAGCUCCACUUGAACGGCAACAGACCAGGCCGUGGCCUGACGGCAGAUUCAAGAAUCGUCGGGAGUCGUCGCAAGCAGAUCAGCAGCGACCGUGUAAGGAGAGGCGAAAUGAGAUGAUAUAAAAAAGUCAGAAGAGAGAUGGCCUGGUGGAUGAGCGUGGGGCUGCUGCCUACUGCCUAGGACCGGUGGUGCGCACCGUUGGUUUAUUAUUAUUAAAGAAAAUUAUUUUUUAGUCUAUAAAAAUACAGUAUAAUUAAUAAAUUUAUUUUUUUAAUUUUAAAAUUUAAUAUUUUUAUUUUUAAAAUUUAAUUUUAUUAAAAUUUAAAAUUUUUUGAUAAAAAAUUUAUGUUAAAUUAAUAAUUAUCAUUCGGUAAGAAUAAAUAUAAUUUUAAAAACAUUCUUAUCAAUAAUAAAUUAAAUAAAUUAUUAUUUAAUCUCUUAAAUUUAAAAAUAAAAUAAAAUAUCUCUAAUAUUUUAAAAAGUCUAAUAAUUAAUUUCUUUAUUAAUUUUAUCACUAAAUAUUUUAGUAUUUAGUCUUUAUAAUUUAAAAAAAUUUAUUAAUUGAUAUCUCAAAUUAUUAAAAAGUUUACUGAUUAGUUCAUUCGUAUUAAGAAUAUUUUAAAUUUUUUUAUAAUGUUUAACGAUUAAAAUUAAUAAAAAAAUUAACUAGCAGACUUUUUAAAAUAUGAAUUUUUCAAAUGGUGAUAAUGUUAUAAAAUAAAUUUUUAUUGAGUUUAAUUUUUUAUUUUUAAUAAUAUAAAUUUUAUAUAUUUUAAAUUUUAUUAUUUUUAUUGAAUUUAAAUUUUAAAUUUAUUAAAAUUUUUAUUUAUUUAUAGAGAUUGAAUUUUAAAAUUUUUUUCUUUGAAAUUUAACGAAAUUAAACUUAAAAAAUUAAAAUAUUAAAUUUAAAAAAUAAAGGAACAAAUCUAUUAAUUACAUAAUAUGAAAAUAUAUUUUUUCUUCUAUUUUUUAGAGAAAAGACCUAUAAAUUUAUAAAAAUUAAAUUUUAGAGAGUAAAGUGUUAGAUUUUAAAAAAAUAAAUAGAUAAAUAUGUUAAUUAUAUAAUAUUUUAGAGAUAAAAAAAUAUUUUUUUAUUAAACUUUUUGGAGAAGAGAUUUAUAAAUUUAUAGAAAAUUAAAUUUUAGAAAUUAAAGUAUUAAAUUCUAAAAAUAUAACUCGAUCAUUUUUCCUGUCGUUAAGACUUUUAAUUUUGACUAAAUUAAAUUUUAAUGAUGAAAAUAUUAAAUUUUAAAAAUAGAGAAAUAAAUUUAUUAAUUAUCAUAAGAAUAAAAAAGUAAAUUUUCUUUAUUAUUAUUGAGAGAAAAAUUCAAUAAUUGAUAUUAAAUCAAAUUUCUUAGAAGAUUAUAAUUUAAUUUUUAUUUAUAAAUAUUUUUUAAAAAACGUUUAUUGCUUACGAUCCUUAGUUGGAUUGGAGAAGGCAUUUGAGAUCCUGACACUGCCAGGAUUCGAUUACCCAUUAAAACCCUCUUUAAUCUCUUAAAAUAUUUUAAAAAUAUUUUAAUAUAUUUUUUAUUAUUAAUAAAUUAAUUAAUAAAUUUUAUUAAAUUUGAGAGAGUAAAUAAUAUUUUUUUUAAAAAAAAUAUAAAUAUUAAAUUAUAAUUUUAUUUAACUUAUUUCACUAUUGUAAUUUUAUUGUAGUUCUUUCUUAAAAUUAAAUUGGAACUAUUUUGAAACCAUACUAAGCGAAAUAAAAUUGUAUAUAUAUAUAUUUUUCUAUAAUAUUUUAAAUUUAUAUAUUAUUAAAAAAUAUUAUUAAUACUAUUAUUAUAGUUUAUUUAUUUAUUUUUUUAAACAAAACUGCUGAUUAUAUUAAUAAAAUUUUAUCAAACAAAAAUGAUAUCAUCCCAAACAGAAAAAUGAUUAUGUCUGAUAUAUUCUCUAGCCAAAAUAUGAGUAAUUAGAAUAGUAUUACGACGAAUCAUCUAACAGAAAUAUUAGAGUUUAAUAAAAAUUUACAAUCAUUCAAAAUCAAACCCUGCAUAAGAUAAUUUGGCAAAAAUGCUCCUAAAGUAUUUGUCUAAACUCCUGUAUAAGAUAAUUUGACAAAGAUUCUCCUCCUUCUUUCUUAUCUCUCGAGCAUAAAUCAUUAAAGUUUCCCGAAUAAAACCACAGAAGAGAGUUUUUACGAGAUAAAACUCGAAUAAGAUUUUAUGACUGAUGUCGUCAUUGCGAUUCCGGAAACCCAUAAUAACUAGUAAACCUCCAUUGAACAUUAACUUCCAAAACAACCGAAUCAAUAAAAUUUAAAGAAAAGCCAACCACAAAAACAAAUACAUGACUCUUCUACAUUAACGAGUUUAUUGACUCAGAAGCAACCAUCAAAAUGUAAAAAAUUACGAAAAAAUUCCAUACGAGAACUAAGAGUUUUUAUUUUCAUAAAAAUAAAAUGUCUGACUUGUAACUAGUAACCAAAUCCUUCAAUACAUUAACUGUCCGAGGAUUGCCGCCAUAAAUCUGCCAAAGAGGUCUGCAUAUUCUGAAAAUUGAUUAGAUUGUAUGUGAAAAAUAUUCUCACCAUAUAAAAAUCAUAGGAGAUGAUCGGAAUAUCUCUAAAACUCUUAAUAGGGGCACUAACAUAUUCUUUUUCAUCGAUAAUCAAUUGACGAAGAUAAUUUUCUAUGGGAAGGGAAAAGAAGAAGUUAGGUUUAAGGAAAAGACAAAGGCGAGAGUAUCGAGUCACAAAUAGACAACAGAGGAAACUUAUAAUUUACUUUUCCUUAAUAUCUUAAUUAUAAAUGCAUUAUUAUAUUUCGUAGUAAUAUGUGUAGUUAAAAGUAACAUGAUUAAAAAAUAGCUAAGAUUUAUAUUAUAUAUUUAUUUAUACUACUAAUUUUUCAUGUUUAAUUAUAUGUAUACUUUAUAAUUAGAUCUUAUAUAAUUAAGAAAUAGUUUACAAGUAUAUUAUAUAAUAGGGAUAAUGUUCAUAAAAAUAUUAAAUUUUGCUAUUUUUUAUAAUUAUAUCUUUAAUAUUUUUUUAAUAAAAAUAUCAUAUACUUACAAUAUACCCUACGUUUAUACUUUUCUUAAAAAUUAAUGAAAAAAAUCAUUUAUAAUAAACUAUUAAAUUAAUAAAGAAAAAUGCUAAUAAGUGUAAUAUUUAAAACUAAAAACAUAUAUAGAGAUUAAAAAAAUAUUUUUUUUUAAUUAAACCUCUAGCACUUUAACUCAUGAUAGGUAAUUAAAAUAUAGAUGAACAUAAUAACUCUAUUUUAGAAUAAUUCAUGAUUCUCUCUAUUCUCGGUUCUCCUGACAUAAUUUUCUCUGCCACAGUACUCAUAUUUUUUUAGUAGCAUUGAAUGUUAGAUUUUUCUUGAGAAAAAUUAUUACCUCUUGCUCCUUGUCUGGCAGUAGUUUUGAAAUUUUUACCUUUUCUAUCUAUGAAAAGAUUAUGCUCUGUUCUACUUGUGAUGGACUCUUCAUUUCUUAAAUUUACUUGUCUUUUGCUCUAAUGUGCUUGGUGACCUCUCUUUCAUCCACAUCUCGAAACUCUAAUGAGCCUUGUAAAUCAUUAAGAGUCAAAACUUCAAGAUUUUUGAAUUUUUCAAUGGCAAUUACCACAUAAUCGAACUGGCUUGAUAAACUCUAUAGAAUUUUCUCUACCAUAUAUUUUUCUUCAAUUUUAUCACUAUUAUUUUUUUAUCUCAUUGACAAUAUUCUGCAUCGAAUAAAAAUAAUCACAAAUGCUUUCAUCUUUACUUUGCUUCAUUAGCUCGUACUGUCUUUUUAAACCCUGCACCUCAUUAUUUUAACUGGAUCUGCACCUUUAUAUAUUUUGAGCGAAAUAUUCUAAACCUCUUUUAUUUUCUGGUAUGAAAUAUUUUUUCAAGAACUAGUAACCUAAUGAACUGAAAAAUUAAAAAUAGGGUCUUCUCAUUUAGUGAAUGAUUACGAGCUAAUUAUUGUAUUUUUUUAACGGUUGGCUUUUUUUUUCCUCGAACUCUUUUUUGAAAAUUUCUCUAAAACCGUUGCUUUCAAACAUAGUUCCAUUAAAUGCUUUCACAUUGUAAAAUUAUUUUUCCAUUCAACUUAAAAAUUAUUGACUAUACUUGUUGAAUUUGUUGUACUACGGCGUUUAAAUUUGAAGCCAUUUACUGUGACCAAUUAUCAUAUCAGAUAUUGACAAUUAAAAUUAAAAUUGUCUAAAAAAUUAGGUGGAUUUAAUUUAUCCACAGAAACACUAAGAUAAUUUUAAUGAUUGAAAAUACACCCUCACAAAUAAAAAUAUAUUUUUUUUCACACAUUAUAAUUCGUAGGAGCUAUUUUUAAUUUAUUUUGUUGGAGCUAACAACACUAUCUUUUUUCCUCUCUCAAACUUCUUCUCACGGUUCACUUUUUUUGUAACGACUCGGAAAUCGGACCGCUAACGGCACUAGGAUUCAGAUCGAUUUAAGGUCGCCGGAACCCGUAGCAAGCCUACUAUACAUCCUGUGUAUCUGAUAAAAUCCCAUACAUGAUCAUAUAUCAACACAAAAAUUUAAACAUUUCAUGAAACCAAGCUUAACCUGUGUAUGUAUUAUAAACUAAAAACAUAAAACUCAUACUAGAACCCUCAUCAAAUGCUCCAGUAUGGUCAACAUACAUGCCUCAACUUGGUUCAAUAUAACAUAAACAUAAAACUUGUACAUAAAGAUCAUGAAAACCGGGAUUACAACAUUAUCAUUAGGGCGAAGCACAAUUCUAAUGCAAAACAACCUAAUACAUAAACAUGGCAUUCAUAAUGCAUGAACAUAUUUAAAAAAUUUGAUUACUUUAAAACAAUAGAUUAGUUUAGUUCUACUCACCUCUGGCUGAUGCUUGCCUAACAAUGACACAGCUAGUUCACUGAAGGCCUCUACGGUCUCUCUGGUCCGAUCCUACACAGGUGGACUCAAAUGAGGGACCAACACAACUAUUACAUGACUCUAAACAACUCCCCAAAAAUCCCCUAAAACAUAACAAAACAUGCAUAGGAAUCAAGCAAAGGAAGGCUGGGCAGAGGACUUUCGGCGGCAGGUUUGACGGCCGAAGGUCCCCACAGAUUCGAAAGUCAGACACUUUCGGGGGCAGGUUCGGUGGCCGAAGGUCUCCACAGAUCUGAAAGUCACCAACCUUUGGGGGCAGGUUAGGCGGCCAAAGGCUACCUCCACAGGCAAAUUCGGCGACCGAACCCUGCUUCGGCGGCCGAACCUGGGUUCUCCAGAAUGGCAGAACCCGAUUCUGCCUUAAGCACACAGCCACCAAACUCUCCAAAUCCUCACAUCCAACCCCUCAAAAUAUGCAUACACACUCAUCAAACAUAAGGGGUUUAAAAACUAGGCUAAACCCCAACAAACAACAACUAAAACAUCAUAAGAGCAAACAUUCAUAAACAACCCAACUCAAACCCUAUAACAUUAGAUCUAACCAAUUCAUACAUUUUUAAUCCUUAACCCUUAUUAGAACUUACUUAAAACAUAGAAAAGGCAAAGAUCUAUACUUACCUCUUGGAGAUCUAAGGUAGAUGCGACCAAAGCUUGGAGUUGAGGAGAAAUGGUCUCCAAACUUUACAAUCUUGGAUUCAAGCUUAAAACUUCAAAAACAAGAGAAAACUCAUGAAUAUUUUGAAGGAUUUGAAGGAAAAAUAACAAAAUCAACAAUGGAAGGGCAAGAACUCAAAUUUGCCCGAAAAUGGAGAGAGAAACUCUCCCAUUUUCGGACUGGAGGCCUCUUAUAGAUGGCUGGCCAGACCACCUUCGGGGGCCGAAAGGAGCUCCCGCAGCAGCACCAUGUUCGGCAGCCGAACAUAAGGUUCGGCGGCCAAACCUGGGCUUUCCUUCCAAAACAUUUUUCUUCCUUUUUAAAAAUUCUUUCGCACCAAACCAAUAGUAAAACCAUAAAAUUUAUUUUGUGAAAAACUUAAUUUUACUUUUCUAAGAGGUUCCAACAUCCGAGAUUCCAGAUUCUAAUGGGAAUUUAACGGAAGGUUGGAAUUCCGACGCCGGAGUCUAGCCGGGUAUUACAUUCUCCUCCCCUUAAGAACAUUCGUCCCUGAAUGUUCAACAAGCAAACAUAAACACCAAGAAAACACAUAAAACUGAAAACAAUUAUCUUAAAAGAGAUAGGGGUAUUGCUGGAGCAUGGACUCCCGAGUCUCCCAGGUGCACUCUUUCAUAUUGUGGUGAUUCCAAAGGACUUUCACCAUCGCGAUUUUCUUGUUCCUCAGCUUUCUGAUUUGUGUGUCUAUGAUCCGCACUGGCUGCUCAACAUAGGUGAGAUCUCCUAGGAUCUCUACAUCCGGUUCAUUAAGAACCUUGCCUGGAUCUGACAUGAACUUCCAUAACAUGGAAACAUGAAAAAUCAGAUGGAUUUUCUCCAUAGAAGCAGGUAAGUCUAACUUGUAAGAUACAUUCCCAAUCUUUUGCAAGAUUUCGAAGGGUCCAAUGUACCUUGGAGCUAGUUUAUCCUUUUUCCCAAAGCAAAUCACCCCUUUCAUAGGAGACACCUUGAGCAACAUCAUAUCUCCCUCCUGAAACACAACAUGUUUCUUGCGGACAUCUGCAUAGCUCUUCUGCCGACUCACAGCAGUCCUGAUUCUUUCUCUGAUAAUAGGCACUACCCUGCUGGUGAUCUCAACUAACUCUAGCCCUGCCAAGGCCCUUUCUCCCACUUCUUCCCAGCAGACAGGUGACCUGCACUUCCUCCCAUAUAGAGCUUCAUAAGGAGCCAUCCCGAUGCUAGCAUGGUAACUGUUGUUGUAAGCAAACUCCACCAAUGGUAGAUAUUGCCUCCAAGAACCGCCAAAAUCUAGCACACACAUUUUUAACAUGUCUUCUAUUGUUUGGAUGGUCCUCUCUGACUGUCCGUCAGUCUAUGGAUGAAAGUCAGUGCUAAAGUCUAACCUCGUGCCCAUAGCAUUCUGCAGACUCCGCCAAAACCUGGAGGUAAACUGAGGUCCCCUAUCUGACACUAUUGAUACUGGGUCCCCAUGCAGCCUGACAAUCUCUUCAACAUAUACCUGUGCCAAUUUGUCCACAGAGUAGCCACUCUUGACAGGGAUAAAGUGAGCAAAUUUGGUUAAUCUGUCCACUAUUACUCAUAUAGAGUCUAAUCUGUUCGACGUUGCUGGUAAUCCCACCACGAAAUCCAUUGCCACAUUUUCCCAUUUCCACUCUGGAAUCAGUAGUGGGUUGACCAUCCCAGCUGGCUUCUGAUGUUCCAGCUUCACCCUCUGACAUAUUUCACAAGCGGACACAAACUACGCCACUUCCCUCUUCAUAGCUGGCCACCAAUAAACUUUCUUCAGAUCCUGAUACAUUUUGGUGGCCCCAGGGUGAACACUGUACCUGGCAUUAUGAGCUUCUCUCAUGAUGUCUCCCUUCAAACUUACGUCAUAUGGUACACAUAAUCUAUUUUCGUAAUGGAGGAUCCCCUUGUUGUCGAACCUAAACUCAUCAUUCUUGCCUGCCUGAACAGUCCUCGUAAUUUUCACCAACUUAGGGUCCUCGUGCUGUUUCUGUGCUACUUGCUCUAGAAACACGGGUGUCACUCUCAUCUGAGCCACUAGUGCACCUGUACCAGACAACUCUAGCUGAAAACCUUUAUUAAUGAGCUUGUAAAGUUCCCUCACCACCGGUCUUCUCUCUGCUGUAAUAUGGGAUAAACUGCCAAGUGAAUUUCGGCUAAGAGCAUCUACUACUACAUUUGCCUUGCCCGGAUGAUACUGGAUCUUGCAAUCAUAAUCACUAAGCAGCUCUACCUAUCUUCUCUACCUCAGGUUCAACUCUUUUUGACUCAAGAUGUAUUGCAAGCUUUUAUGAUAUGUAAAGAUCUCACAUUUUACCCCAUACAGGUAAUGCCUCCACAUCUUGAGUGCAAAGAUCACAGCUGGCAUCUCUAGAUCGUGUGUGGGAUAAUUCAACUCGUGCUUCUUCAACUGUCUAGAAGCAUAAGCAAUCACCCUUUCCUUCUGCAUCAACACACAACCUAGUCCCACUCGAGACGCAUCACAAAAUACUAUGAAGUCUUCAUUACUGGUAGGCAGAGCUAACACCGGUGCUGACGUCAGUCUUUUCUUCAGCUCUUCGAAACUCUCUUCACACUGUUCUGACCAAACGAACCUCUGAUUCUUUUUGGUCAAUCUGGUCAUAGGAGCAGUAAUCUCUGAGAAAUCCUGGACAAACCUCCUGUAGUAACCUGCCAAACCCAAAAAGCUCUUAAUCUCUGUCACUAUAGUGGGUCUGGGCCAGUUAGCUACAACUUCUACUUUCUUGGGGUCCACCUCAAUUCCUUUUUCUGACACCACAUGCCCCAAGAAAGAGAUACUCCUCAACCAGAACUCACAUUUAGAAAAUUUGGCAUACAAGCCAUGUUCCCUUAGGGUUUGCAACACAAUUCUCAGAUAAUGGGCAUGGUCCUCUACAUUUCUGGAAUACACCAAGAUAUCGUCAAUGAAGAUAAUAACGAAGUGAUCCAGAAACUGACUAAAAACUCUAUUCAUGAGGUCCAUGAAUGCUGCAGGGGCAUUAGUUAGCCCAAACGGCAUCACUAGGAACUCAUAGUGUCCAUAUCUGGUCCUGAAAGCUAUCUUUGGCACAUCUUCUUCUCUGACCCUCAGCUAGUGGUACCCGGAUCUCAAAUCUAUCUUGGAGAAACAACCGGCUCCUGCUAGCUGGUCAAUAGAUCAUCAAUCCUGGGUAGUGGAUACCUGUUCUUGGUAGUGACCUUAUUCAACUGUCUGUGGUCGAUACAAAGCCUUAGGGAUCCAUCCUUCUUUUUCACAAACAAAACCGGGGCACCCCAAGGUGAGGUACUAGGUCGGAUGAAACCUUUAUCUACCAACUCCUGCAACUGCUCCUUUAACUCUUACAAUUCUGCAUGCGCCAUCCUGUAGGGAGGAAUAGAGAUAGGUCUGGUUUCGGGCAUUACUUUAAUUUCAAACUCUAUCUCCCUAGCAGGUGGUAAAGCUGGUAGCUCAUCUGGGAAAACAUCUAGAAACUCUCUAACUACGGGCACUAAAAUUGAUUCCCUAAACUGACUGUUAAGCUCUCUGACAUGAGCAAGAAACCAUUAAAAACCCCUCCUAAGCAACCUAUGAGCCUGCAGGGUAAAUAUCAAACCUCUAGGCAUCCCUACUCUGUCUCCUCUGAAGAUGACCUCUGACCCAUCUUGUUCUCUGAACCUGACUACCUUGUCUCUGCAGUCCAAGGUAGCACCAUGAGUAGAGAGCCAAUCCAUCCCUAGAAUGAGAUCAAAAUCGAUCAAAUCUAGAACCACAAGGUCAGCUGGAAGGCACCUACCCUCUACAAAAAUUGAACUGAACCGGUAGACUGAUUCUGCCACAGAUGGAUCACACUUGGGCCCACUGACCCAAAGAGGACACUCUAACCCAUAAGCUAUCAAACCCAAACUCUCUAUGGCUCUCAGAGAAAUAAAAGAAUGAGAGGCACCAGGGUCCAUAAGAGCAUACACAUUAGAACACCCAAUAGUGAGUUUACCUGACACCACCGUGUUCGAUGUGUUAGCCUCCUGUUGUGUCAAGGUGAAGAUCUGUGCUGGAGCUGAAGGACCUUUCCCGUGGGAACCUACUGAAGAAGAGGUUGUCCUUCUCCCUCGACCUCACCCUCUGCCAUGAAAUGUGGCUAAAGUUGCUGGCUGAGCUAUACUGCCAAAAGCUGUCUGCUGGGACUAUGCCACUAUAGCUGCAUUGGGACACUCACAUGCCUUGUGCCCCUCCUGUCCACAUCUGAAACAUGCUGUAGUCCCCAACCGAUAGACUCCUUUGUGUGGCUUAUCGCACCUCAUACAUCCAGAACUAUCCUGUAACGACCCGAAAAUCGGACCGCUACCGACGCUAGGAUCCAGGUCAACUUAAGGUCGCCGGAACCCGUAGCAAGCCUGCUAUACUCUCUCUAUACCUGUAAAAUCCCAUACAUGAUCAUACAUUUUCUGUAAAAACAUAAAACUUUGCUCUGAACCAAGACUCAACCUGUGCAUGCACUAUCUCUGUACUACAGAACCCCUUACUAGAGCGUGCUCUAGACGGGUUAAAAACUGUUACUAUGUUAAACCUGGUUCUCAUACUCAUAAAAACACAAGUACAUAAACAAACCAUGUAUAUAAAAAGGGAUUUACAAUACCAAUGGGUCAAGCACACUACUACACUCUCUACAUCUCUUUACAAUAUUACAUGUCCAUACUAUGCUAUUACACAACUCGUUACUCUUCAUAAAUCCUGCUGACAUCCCUCUGUACUCUGAUCCUGCAAGACUGGGGUUAAGGGAGAGGGGUGAGCUAUACUAGCCCAGUAAGUAGAACAAAAUAAUCAUGCUCACAUGAAAUGCAUCACAUCACAAGUAAUCAUAUAUCGGACGGACGGAAACAAAACUCCCUCAAACUGUGCCCGGCCCGCGAAGGAGCUCCUCAGGUCUUGAUAUGCCCGGCCCUCUAUGGGGAUCCUCAGGACUUGAUGUGCCCGGCCCUCGAUGAGGCUCCUUAGGACUUGAUGGGAGGGCUAAUGAAUCCAAACUAUGUCCGUCCGCAAGUUCAAUAAAUAAUGCCAUGCACAUAUUCGUGAAUUCUAAUGCAAUCAUCCUAUUGCAUAAUCAUGAUGCAUGAAAUAUGCUUAAAGAAUUUAAUUUCUCAAUUAAAAAGAUUAAAUUUAGUUCCACUCACCUCUGGCUAACUCUGAACUGACUCUGAAAACUCUGAAGCAGUGCUUAUUGCUGAUCUCUUCGGUUCCUCUGGUCCGUUCCUACACAGGUGGACUCAAAUGAGGGACCAAACUAACUCAAAAACAACUCUAUAAAACUCCCCAAAGCCCCCCUAAAACAUCCUAAAACAAUCAAGGAAAACAAGCAAAAGAAGGCUGGACAGGGCACUUUCGGCGGCAGGUUCGACGGCCGAAAGUCCCUCCAGAUCCGAAAGUCAGGCACUUUCGGCGGCACCUUUGGCUGCCGAAAGUCCUUUCCAGAGACGAAAGUCCCUAACCUUCGGCGGCAUAUUCGGCGGCUGAAACCCCCCUCCAGAGCUGAAAGUCCAAACUUUCGGGGGCGAGCUUAGGCAGCCGAAACCACCUCCUUAGCAUGUUUGGCGGCCGAACCUUCCUUUGGCGGCCGAAACUGGAUUCUCCAGUUAGGCAGAACCCUGCUCUGCUUCAUGCAAACUUCCUCCCAACUUUCUCAAACAUGCAACCAACAACUCAACAACAAACAUAUUGUAACAACCUGAAAAACGGACCGCCACCGGCACUAGGAUCCGGGUCGACUUAAGGUCACCGGGACCCAUAGUAAGCCUGCUAUACUCUCUGAGUACCUGUAAAAUCCCAUACAUGGUCAUAUAUUUUCUGUAAAAACAUAAAAACUGUACUCUGUACCAAGGCUCAACCUGUGCAUGCACUAUCUCUGUAACCCUUUACUAGAGCUCUCAUCCAUGCUCUAGACGGGUUAAAUUCAUACUGUGUUAAGCCUGGUUUUUCACACUCAUCAAAACAUGUACAUAACAAUAAAUAGACCAAGUGUACAAAAGGGAUUUACAAUACAAAUGGGUCAAGCACACUACUCAACUCUAUACAAUACUCAUACAUCGCUUUACAAAUAAAACAUGUACAUAACAAUAAAUAGACCAAGUCCAAACUUUCGGGGGCAAGCUUAGGUAAGCUUAGGCAGCCGAAACCACCUCCUUAGCAUGUUCGGCGGCCGAACCUUCCUUCGGCGGCCGAAACUGGGUUCUCCAGUAAGGCAGAACCUUGCUCUGCCUCAUGCUAAACCUCUCCAAAUCUUACCCAAACAUACAAACCACAAUUCCUCAACAUACAUACACUCAAGUAUAUGCACAAAGGGGUCCAAAACUACCUUAAAACCCCAACAAACAACACAACACAACACAUAUAUAUGCUUUCAUCAAGAACUCACCAAAAAUCCUAUUUAACCUAAUCAUGCAUCUCUACCCAUCAAAACCUUCAUCAAUCAUGGAAAGAAGUUCAGGAUCUUCACUUACCUCUUGAAAACAAGAAGAAGAACGAUCCUAACGUGGAGAUAUGGAGCAACUCUCUUCCAAAGUCUCCAAACUUCAACACUUGGAUUUUUAGCUCAAAAGCUUCAAAAUAACAUCAAAACCUAUCAAAACUUUGCAAGAUUUGAUGAAAACAUGAAGAUUACCCAAGGAAGACAUGGGCUCACCUCUGUUGGUGAAAUGAAAAGCAAUUCUUAUCCAUUCACCGACUGAGGGCCUUUUAUAGGUGGCUGGCCAGACCACCUUCGGCGGCCUAAUCGUGAUUCCAAACUCAUGCAUGUUCGGCGGCCGAACCUCACUUUCGGCGGCCAAACCUGACAUUUCUUCCUUGGUUCUUUUCUUUCAAAAAAUCAUUUCUUUUUCACUUUAAAACUAUAAAACACACUAAAAUACUUUAGAAAAACAUACUUCUUACCCUUCUAGCGGAUUCCAACAUCCUAGAUUCCACCGGAAAGUAGAAUUCCGAUGCCGGACUCUAGCCGGGUAUUACACAUAUACUCAAGUAUAUGCACAAAGGGAUCCAAAACUACCUUAAAACCCCAACAAACAUCACAACUCAACACAUAAACAUGCUUUCACCAAUAAACAACUAAAAACUCUACUUAACCUAAACAUGCAUCUCUACCCAUAAAACUCCAUAAAACCUUCAUAAAACAUGAAAAGAAGUUAAGGAUCUACACUUACCUCUUGAAGAUCUAGAGGAUAGGUGAUCCUAAUGUGGAGAUAUGGAGCAACUCUCUCUCAAAGUCUCCAAACUUCAAAACUUUGGUUUUUAGCUCGAAAGCUUCAAAACAACAUGAAAACUUAUCAAAACUUUGAAAGAUUUGGAGAAAACAUGAAGAUCACCCAAGAAAGAUCAUGGUCUCACCUCUGUCCGUGGAAAUGGAAAGAAAAUCUUAUCCAUUCACAGACCUCUGGCCUUUUAUAGGUGGCUGGCCAGACCACCUUCGGCGGCCAAACGUGAUUCCUAAAGUCAUGCAUGUUCGGCGGCCGAACUUCACCUUCGACGGCCGAACCUGGCAUUUCUUCCUUGGUUCUUUUCUUUCAAAAUUCAUUUUCUUUACACGUAAAACAUGAAAACAUACUAAAACACUUUGGAAAACAUAAGGCUUAUGUAACAGCCUGAAAACCGAACUGCUACCGGCGCUAGGAUCCAGAUCGGCUUAAGGCCGCCGGGACCCGUAGCAAGCCUGCUGUGAACUCUGUGUACCUGUGAAAUCCCAUACAUGAUCAAACAUUUUCAGUAAACAUUAAAACUUUUCUCUGUUCCGAGGCUUAACCUGUGCAUACGCUAACCCUGUCCUGUACAACCCCUGCUAGAGCUCUCAUCUUUGCUCUAGGCGGGUCAACUCAUAAAAUAUUAAGCCUGGUUUUUCAUAUACAAUAAAAUCAUUUGCAUAAUCGACCAUGUAUAAAUAUAAAAGGGAUUACAACUCAUAUGGUCAAGCAUUAUCUCAACAACAUAAACUAUCUUUUACAGUUACAUGUCCACACUAGCUAUUACAUAACUCUUCUCUUUAUCUGUACCCUGCUGACUUCUCUGGACUCUGAACUUGCAAGACUGGGGGUUAAGGGAGAGGGUGAGCUAUACUAGCCCAGUGAGUAGUACAUAUAAAACAUGUUAUAAAACAUGAUCUCAUGGAAUGCAUCACAACACAAAUAAAUCACAUCAUCUCAGACGGACUAAUUCAAAAUUCCCCCACAUUGCCCGGCCCGCGAAGGAGCUCCUCAGGUCUUCAUUCAGCACCCUAUGGUACCGUGUGCCCGGCCCUUUCAGCGCUCCUCAGGUCUUCAUUCAGGGGGCUAAUGAAUCCAAGCUACGCCCGAUCUGUACAUGCACUGAUUAAUGCAACAUCUUCGUGCUCACUAAUGCAAUACUCUACACAUGGCAUAAAUGAUGCAUGAAACAUGCUAAAAAUGUUUGAGUUCUCAUAGUCAAAGCUUUAGUUCAGUUCCACUCACCUUUGGUUGACUCUGUACUGACUCUGCAGGUUCUGAAGCAGUGCUCACUGCUGACCUCCUUGGUUCCUCUGGUCCGUUCCUACACAGGUGGACUGAAAUGAGGGACCAAACUCACUCAAGAACAUCUCUAAGAAACUCCCCAAAAACCCUCUAAAGCCUCCUAGAACAAGCACAUAAAACAUGCAAAAUAAAGCUGGAUAGGGCACUUUCGGCGGUAGGUUCGGCGGCCGAAACUCUCCUCCAGAGACGAAACUCAUGCAUGUUCGGCGGCACCUUCGGCAGCCGAAAGUCUCGUCUAGAGAUGAAACUCAACCUUCGGCGGCACUUUCGGCGGCCGAACCUUGCCUCCAGAGACGAAAGUCCAAAUGUUCGGGGGCAAGCUUUGGCAGCCGAAACUGCCUCCACAAGGGGUUUGGCGGCCGAACCUUCCUUCGGCGGCCGAACCUGGUUUUGCCCGUUGGGCAGAAACCUGCUCUGUUUCAUGCAAAUUGCACCCAAAACCUAUCCAACAUGCAUAGCAACUACUCCCAACUAGCAUAUACCAUAGAACAUGCAUAAAGAGGUCUAAACCUUGCCUAACACCUCCAAAAUACACAUAGCAAACAACAUUUAACAUGCUUUAACACAAAAAUCACCAAAACCUCAUCUAAACCUACUCAUGCAUACUACCCAUACAACUCCCAUAAAACCUUCAAAAUCAAGAAAGGAAGUUCAGGAUCUUCACUUACCUCUUCUAAACAAGAGAUUGAACGAUCCCUACGUGGAGAUAUGGAGAAAUCCUCUCAACUUCUCCAAGCUUCCAAACCUUUGUUCUUUUGCUUAAAAACUUCAAAACCACAUGAAAAUCCAUCAAAACCAUGAAAACUUUGAGAAAACACAUAAAUCACUCAAGGAAGAUCAAGUCUCACCUCAGCUCGUGCAAAUGGAAAGCAAAUCUUAUCCAUUUGACCGACCUAGGGCCUUUUAUAAUUGGCUGGCCAGACCAACUACGGCGGCUGAAUGAGAACCCGAAUGCCAUGUACGUUCGGCGGCCGAAAGUCACCUUCGGCGGCCGAACCUUGGCUUUUCUGCCUUGGUGCUUUUCUUGCAAAACCUCAUUUCUUUUACAACUUAAAACAUGCAAACGCGUAUAAAACCAUAUAAAACAUAGCCCUUACCCUUCUAGAGACUUCCGACAUCAGAAAGUCCACCGUCCUACAGGACUUCCGACGCCGGACUCUAGCCGGGUAUUACAUUCUCCCCCCCUUAAGAACAUUCGUCAUCGAAUGUUCCUCAAACACAUAAACACAUAACAUAUAGAAAAGGGGACAACUCACCUCAAAACAGAUAUGGGUAUUGCUGGAGCAUAGACUCCCGUGUCUCCCAGGUGCACUCUUCUAUGUUAUGGUGGUUCCACAGGACUUUUACCAUCGGAAUUUCUUUGUUUCUCAACUUUCUGAUCUGGGUGUCAAUGAUCCUCACUGGCUGUUCGACAUAUGUGAGAUCUCCUAGGAUCUCCACAUCAGGCUCACUGAGAACCUGACCUGGAUCUGACACAAAUUUUCGUAGCAUAGAAACAUGAAACACCGGAUGGAUUCUUUCCAUAGAUGCAGGUAAAUCCAGCUUGUACGACACAUUCCCGAUCCUCUGCAGAAUCUCAAAGGGACCAAUGUAUCGUGGAGCUAGCUUACCCUUUCUUCCAAAGCGAACCACGCCCUUUAUUGGAGACACCUUCAGCAAAACCAUAUCCCCCUCCUGGAACUCUAUCUGUUUCCUAUGGACAUCUGCAUAGCUUUUCUAUCUGCUGACAGCUGUUCUGAUCCUCUCUCUGAUGAUAGGCACGAAUCUGCUGGUAAUCUCGACUAACUCUGGCCCUAUAAGAGCCUUUUCUCCGACCUCUUCCCAGCAAACAGGUGUUCUGCACUUCCUCCCAUACAGAGCUUCAUAAGGAGCCAUCCCUAUGCUAGCAUGAUGGCUGUUAUUAUAGGCAAACUCCACCAGAGGUAGAUGCUGCCUCCAAGAACCGCCAAAGUCUAACACACACAUUCUGAGCAUAUCCUCUAUGGUCUGGAUGGUCCUCUCUGACUGACCGUCUGUCUGUGGAUGGAAAGCCAUGCUAAAAUCCAACCUCGUGCCCAUAGCAGCUUGCAGACUCCGCCAAAAUCUGGAGGUGAACUGAGGUCCUCUAUCUGAUACAAUUGACACAGGAACUCCAUGUAGCCUUACUAUCUCUUCGACAUACACCUGCGCUAGCUUGUCCACAGAAUAGUUACUCCUGACUGGAAUGAAGUGAGCAGAUUUAGUCAGUCUAUCCACAAUCACCCAUAUGGAGUCUAUCCUGUUGGACGUCGCCGGUAACCCCACUACAAAAUCCAUUGCUACAUUCUCCCACUUCCAUUCUGGAAUCGGCAGUGGGUUAAGCAGUCCAGCCGGCUUCUGGUGCUCUAGCUUCACCCUUUGACAUGUUUCGCAGGCUGACACGUACUGUGCCACUUCUCUCUUCAUCGCUGGCCACCAAUACACUCUUCUCAGAUCUUGAUACAUCUUGGUGGCUCCAGGGUGAACGCUAUACCUUGCAUUAUGAGCUUCCCUCAUAAUGUCCUCCUUUAAACUGCUGUCAUCUGGCACACAUAACCUCUUCCCGUGAUGAAGAAUCCCCUCACUGUCAAAUCUGAACUCCACACUGUUGCCUGACUGAACAGUCCUGGCAAUUUUCACUAACUCAGGGUCCUCGUGCUGUUUCAAAGCCACUUGCUCAAGAAACACGGGAGUAACUCUCAUCUGUGCAAUUACAGCACCAGUACCAGAUAACUCUAACUGCAACCCUUCUUCCAUGAGCUUGUAGAAAUCCUUCACCACCGGCCUCCUCUCUGCUGUAAUGUGGGAUAAACUGCCGAGUGACUUUCGGCUUAAGGCAUCGGCUACAACAUUAGCCUUACCCGGGUGAUACUGGAUCUUGCAAUCAUAAUCACUGAGCAAUUCGACCCACCGUCUCUGCCUCAAAUUUAGCUCUCUCUGGCUCAAGAUGUGCUGCAUGCUCUUAUGAUCCGUGAAGAUCUCACACUUUACCCCAUAGAGGUAAUGCCUCCACAUCUUGAGUGCAAAGAUAACUGCUGCCAUCUCCAGAUCGUGUGUAGGAUAGUUCAGCUCGUGCUUCUUCAGCUGUCUAGAAGCAUAAGCUAUCACUCUGUCAUUUUGCAUCAACACACAACCCAAUCCCACGCGGGAAGCAUCAAAGAACACUGUGAAGUCUUCAUCACUGAUCGGCAGAGCUAACACCGGUGCUGAAGUCAACCGUCUCUUCAGCUCUUCAAAACUCUCUUCACACUCUUCUGACCAUACGAACUUCUGGUUCUUUCUGGUCAAUCUAGUCAUCGGACCAGUAAUCUUCGAGAAGUUCUGAACGAACCUCCGAUAGUAGCCUGCCAAACCCAGGAAACUCUUGAUCUCUGUUACUGUCAUGGGUGUAGGCCAGUUGGCUACUGCCUCUACCUUCUUGGGGUCCACUGCUAUACCUUCAUCUGAAACUACAUGCCCCAAGAAAGAAAUGCUCCUCAGCCAGAACUCACACUUAGAGAACUUGGCAUACAAGCCAUGCUCUUUCAAAGUCUGCAAGACUAUCCUCAGAUGCUGGGCAUGCUCCUCUGCAUCCCUGGAAUACACUAAGAUAUCAUCGAUAAAGACAAUCACAAAGUGAUCGAGGUACUCUCUGAAAACUCUGUUCAUGAGAUCCAUGAAUGCUGCAGGGGCGUUAUUCAACCCGAACGGCAUUACUAGGAACUCAUAAUGCCCAUAUCUGGUCCUGAAAGCUGUCUUGGGUACAUCCUCUUCCCUGAUUCUCAACUGAUGGUAUCCGAAUCUUAGAUCUAUCUUAGAGAAACAUUCUGCUCCUGACAGCUGGUCGAAUAGAUCAUCGAUCCUGGGUAGAGGAUACUUAUUCUUGGUAGUGACCUUGUUCAACUGCCUGUAGUCGAUACAAAGUCUCAGAGGUCCAUCCUUCUUCCUGACAAACAGUACUGGAGCACCCCAAGGUGAGGUACUCGGGCGGAUGAAACCCUUUUCUACCAAGUCCUGCAACUGCUCUUUUAAUUCUCUCAGCUCUACUGGUGCCAUCCUUUAGGGAGGAAUAGAGAUCGGUCUCGUACCAGGCAUUACCUCUAUCUCGAACUCUAUUUCCCUGUCAGGUGGUAGUCUUGGAAGCUCUUCAGGAAACACAUCUGGGAACUCUCUAACAACUGGUAUUGAGGAUGGUUCCCUAACCUGCAUAUCUAGCUCUCUCACAUGAGCUAGGAACCCCUGACAACCCCUCCUCAACAACCGACGAGCCUGAAGGGCUGAUAUCAAACCUCUCGGUGUCCCUCUCCUGUCUCCUCUGAAGACACACUCUGACCCAUCCUGGUCUCUGAAACUGACUACCUUGUCCCUGCAGUUCAAGGUAGCAUUAUACGUAGAUAACCAAUCCAUCCCUAGAAUGACAUCAAAAUCUGCCAACUCUAGAACCACAAGGUCAGCUGGAAGGUAUCUACCCUCUAUACGCACUGGACUGACUUGACAGACUGACUCUGCCAAUGAUGGGUCACAUCUAGGUCCACUGACCCAGAGAGGACACUCUAACUCGGAGACUAUCAAACCCAACCUCUCUACGGCUCUAGAAGCAAUGAAAGAGUGAGAAGCACCGGGGUCCAUCAAAGCAUACACCUCGGAACACCCAAUGAUGAGAUUACCUGACACCACUGUGUUCGAUGUAUCUGCCUCCUGUUGCGUCAUGGUGAAAAUCCGUGCUGGGGCUGACGGACCUGCACCUCGAGAACCCAUCCCUGAUGAAGAGGCUGACCCUCUUCCUCUACCUCUGCCACUGCUCUGAGGUACGGCUGAAGCUGCUGGCUGUGCUACACUGCCUGAGGUCAUCUGCUGGGAUGGUGCCAUAAAGGUCGCCUGGGGACAUGCUCGUGCAAUAUGUCCCUCUUGCCCAUAUCUAAAGCAGGCUGUAGAUCCCAUCAGACAAACUCCUCUGUGUGGUUUCCCACAUUUCUGACAUACUGGACUGCCUGAGCCAAAGCUGGAGCCGUUUCCCAUUCCCAGUCCUGACUUCAUCCUGCUCCAGAACUUGCCUCUCUUGGACUUAAACUUCUCUCCUUUUCUACUGCCAGAAACUGCUGCACUGAGGGUCUUAGAACCCGAAGACUGUGCCACCUGCUGCUUUCCUGUUCCCUGUAGACUGGCACUCGCCUCCAUUUUUUUGGCUGCAUCCACAAUGGAGUGGAAACUCUCUUUCUCUGCUGGAAGAAUCAAGGAGAAAUACCUGGGGUGAAGCCUUGUGGCAUAUCUCCUUGCCUUCUUCUGAUCCGUAUCAUACGCUUGACCUACGUAUGGUAACAAUUCCAGGAACUUAUCUAUAUACUCAUCAACGCUCAUCUCCUCUGACUGUCUCAGCUGUUCAAACUCAACAACCUUCAUCUCCCUGGAACUGUCAGGAAAAGCCCACCCUGCGAACGCAUUGGCGAACUCUUCCCAUGUCAUGCUGUCUAUUCUGGGGUCCAUAUAGUUCUUGAACCAUUCUUUGGCUUUCUUGCACUUUAAUGUGAACCCUGCCAUCUCAAUGGCCCUGCUCUCAUCAGCUCCCAACUCACUGGUUAUCAUUCUGACUGCACUCAGGUACUCAAAGGGAUCAUCUCCUAUAUUGAAUUUAGGAGCAUCCAACUUUAAGUACUCGGUCAUCUUCACCUUAUGUCCCCAUGAAGAACUAGGUUGUUGUGCUUCAACAACAGGGGCUACAGGUUCUGGUGGUGGUGGAGGUACUGUUUCUCUUGGUUCAGGUUGUGCUGAACUUGUAUGAGAAGGUGGGGGUGGAUACAUAUGAUAUGGUGGGUAAAAAGAAGGAUAAGGCAUAUAGGGCAUAUAAGGUGGAUAUGGGGCAAAGCUGGAGAAAUCCGACAUACCUCCCAUCGGAUACCCCGGGCCCUGUGGAAAGGAUGGAUAGCUAAACCCCGAGGCCUGAACGCCUCCUUGGGACUCUCCCAGACCUUCCUCCGUCCUUCCUAUACCCAUACUUUCAUCUCCUCUGCUCUGACCAACAUCCAUAGCAUCUCUUUCUUCCUCUGAUCUUCCCCCUCUAUCUACUCCUCUUCUGCUCUUGUCAGAAGACCUUCUAGGGUCUCGUGACGUUCCUUCCCUGCUUGACCUGUGAGAUCUUGCCCUUGGCAAUGCAGGAGGACGAGCAGCUGUACCCUCACUUUCUGGUGGGACUCUAGUCAAUCUCGCGGAUCGACGAGUUCCUCGCAUCUUCACUCUCUGGAACACCACACAUAACAUAGCACAUUAGCAACAUAUAUGGCACAUGCAUGAAUCAUAGCAAUGCACACAACAGAUAGACAGGACGGACAUCCUAUCCUAUGGACAUGCUUUCCUAUGAUGCUUGACCAUCUAUGACUUCUAUAAGCCCGACUUUCUCUAUAGGUCCGACCAUAUGAACCUAGGGCUCUGAUACCAAUCUGUAACAGCCCGGAAACCGAACUGCUACCGGCGCUAGGAUCCAGAUCGACUUAAGGCCGCCGGGACCCGUAGCAAGCCUACUAUGAACUCUGUGUGCCUGUGNNNNNNNNNNNNNNNNNNNNNNNNNNNNNNNNNNNNNNNNNNNNNNNNNNNNNNNNNNNNNNNNNNNNNNNNNNNNNNNNNNNNNNNNNNNNNNNNNNNNNNNNNNNNNNNNNNNNNNNNNNNNNNNNNNNNNNNNNNNNNNNNNNNNNNNNNNNNNNNNNNNNNNNNNNNNNNNNNNNNNNNNNNNNNNNNNNNNNNNNNNNNNNNNNNNNNNNNNNNNNNNNNNNNNNNNNNNNNNNNNNNNNNNNNNNNNNNNNNNNNNNNNNNNNNNNNNNNNNNNNNNNNNNNNNNNNNNNNNNNNNNNNNNNNNNNNNNNNNNNNNNNNNNNNNNNNNNNNNNNNNNNNNNNNNNNNNNNNNNNNNNNNNNNNNNNNNNNNNNNNNNNNNNNNNNNNNNNNNNNNNNNNNNNNNNNNNNNNNNNNNNNNNNNNNNNNNNNNNNNNNNNNNNNNNNNNNNNNNNNNNNNNNNNNNNNNNNNNNNNNNNNNNNNNNNNNNNNNNNNNNNNNNNNNNNNNNNNNNNNNNNNNNNNNNNNNNNNNNNNNNNNNNNNNNNNNNNNNNNNNNNNNNNNNNNNNNNNNNNNNNNNNNNNNNNNNNNNNNNNNNNNNNNNNNNNNNNNNNNNNNNNNNNNNNNNNNNNNNNNNNNNNNNNNNNNNNNNNNNNNNNNNNNNNNNNNNNNNNNNNNNNNNNNNNNNNNNNNNNNNNNNNNNNNNNNNNNNNNNNNNNNNNNNNNNNNNNNNNNNNNNNNNNNNNNNNNNNNNNNNNNNNNNNNNNNNNNAAAUCACCAAAAACCUCAUCUAAACCUACUCAUGCAUACUACCCAUACAACUCCCAUAAAACCUUCAAAAUCAAGAAAGGAAGUUCAAGAUCUUCACUUACCUCUUCCAAACAAGAGAUUGAACGAUCCCUACGUGGAGAUAUGGGGAAAUCCUCUCUCAACUUCUCCAAGCUUCCAAACCUUUGCUCGUUUGCUUAAAAACUUCAAAACCACAUGAAAAUCCAUCAAAACCAUGAAAGCUUUGAGAAAACACAUAAAUCACUCAAGGAAGAUCAAGUCUCACCUCAGCUCGUGCAAAUGGAAAGCAAAUCUUAUCCAUUUGACCGACCUAGGGCCUUUUAUAGUUGGCUGGCCAGACCAACUACGGCGGCCGAAUGAGAACCCGAAUGCCAUGCACGUUCGGCGGCCGAAAGUCACCUUCGGCGGCCGAACCUUGGCUUUUCUGCCUUGGUGCUUUUCUUGCAAAACCUCAUUUCUUUUACAACUUAAAACAUGCAAACGCGUAUAAAACCAUAUAAAACAUAGCCCUUACCCUUCUAGAGACUUCCGACAUCAGAAAGUCCACCGUCCUACAGGACUUCCGACGUCGGACUCUAGCCGGGUAUUACAGCUUACCCUUCUAGAAGAUUCCGACAUCCCGGAUUCCACCGGACAGUAGAAUUCCGAUGCCAGACUCUAGCUGGGUAUUACAUUAUCCGAACUAGAGCUUAAACCACCACCCAUUCCCAAACCAGACUUCAAUAUGUUCUAGAACUUGUUCUUCUUGGACUUGGAUUUGUCCCACUUUUUACCUCUUGUGGCGGCAGAAUUCAAAGAGGAGAUAUCAAUUUUCCUUGUACCCGGAAUUUUGGAACCCGAGGACUAUGCCACCUGCUGCUUCACUGUCCCCUGUAUAAUGGCACUAGCCUCCAUCUUCCGUGCUGCAUCCACAAUAGUGUGGAAACUCUCCCUCUCUGUAGCUAAGAUCAGAGAGGAAUACCUAGAGCAGAGUCUCAUGAUAUACCUCCUGGCUUUCUUCUGGUCAGUGUCGUAUGCCUGCCCCACAAACUGCAGCAACUCUAGAAAUUUAUCUGUGUACUCAUCUACACUCAUAUCCUCAGUCUGCCUCAACUGCUCAAACUCU